RNAcentral lists this long non-coding RNA (718 nucleotides) under Homo sapiens (human). RNAcentral describes it as "HSALNT0321484". The record is from RNAcentral. Lineage: Eukaryota; Metazoa; Chordata; Mammalia; Primates; Hominidae.
AACUAGAUGUAGAGACACACAGAGAGAAGAUGGCCAUGCAAAGACAGAGGCAGAAAUUGGAGUGAUGUAGCUACAAGGCAAGGGAUGCCAAUGAUUGCCAGCAACCACUAAAAGCUGGGAAGAGGCAGGGGAGGGUCCUUCUCCAGAGCCUUCAGAAGGAACAUAGCCCUGAAGACUCCGUGGUUUUGCACUUCUAGUCUUCAUAACUAAAACACAGACAUUGGAAGACGUAUGAGACUACGGAAACUAAUUUUCUCAAGGUCAACAAAUAGAGUUGGAAAAUAACGAAGGAACAAAGAAAUGCUGACAGAAAAUGAAUUUCAUACUCCAGUAGUGUUACCAAACUACAUUUCCCCAUCAUGGUAGCCUAAGCCAGGAAGUGGAGAAAAGAGAAGGAUGUCAUUAAGUGGAAAAUAAUCAGGGCAUUUUGAGAGUGGUGUUUUUGGCCGUCGAGAUAAGUCAGUCAUUCUGAGGUAUGGAUGGACAGAGAGCAAGCACUGGCAAGAACAAGAAGAGACGAAUAGGUCGGGCUCUCUCUGUGGGUAUAAAACUCUGAGCAGUUCACUUCAAUUCAUUGGAUCUUGGUGGGCCUCAGACCCACUAAUUACUAUAGUUUCUUGAGGCCUCAAGGUUCAUUUUCUAAAGAAGAACUCCGGCCACGUUCAUUUAUAGCUAUCUUUUAAAAAUACCCAAAUCUGGCUGCGCAGUGGCUCACGCC